This is a long non-coding RNA of Motacilla alba alba, 2158 nucleotides long. RefSeq lists it as uncharacterized. NCBI's taxonomy places the organism in Eukaryota, Metazoa, Chordata, Aves, Passeriformes, Motacillidae. The record is from RefSeq and is a predicted model, not a curated record. The transcript has 3 exons.
UGGCAAACAGCCUGCAGCUGUGCUGCCCAGGGAAUAGUGCUCACACAGCAAGGAAACAAGUCUCACACAGCAGGAAUAGCUCAUGGACUUGUUGGAGCUUGUGCAGAGCAGGACUCCUUUAAUCACCCUUUCUCAAGGGGUUGUCCCCUCUGCCAUAGUAUCUGACUGCCUCUAAUCUAUGAAUUUACACACAGCAUCACUGAUUUUUCUGGUAACCAGCUACUCAAUGGAAAAAUGAAGAGAAGCAGCAGCCCUGGUUGUGUACAGAGAAUCUGGCAUCUGGAGUUUGGCAUCUGUAAUCAGUCAAAGCCUGGCAGGGAUAUAACUGCCUGAAUGAGUUCUAGGCAUAGAGCAGAGGGUCAGAAUGAGGAACUGGAGAACAUGUGGUUGUGGCACUGUCUCUUUUAGCUUCAGCCUGCUCUAAACCUGUCUUGUGGUGACAGUGGGAGCAUGUGUGAGAACAAUUAUAGGACUGAAUAUCUGGCAGUUCUGCACCCAGCCUCUGCCUCAAAUCAGGCACCAGAAGUAUAGAACACACAUCUAAAAACUGCUUAUACAAAGAUCAGAACAAAUAACUUACUUGUGUGAAUUUUGAGGCUAAAAAGCAGUCCAGUUGCUAAAAAAAAAAAUACAGGGGCACAUCAGCCUCCUGUGCAAUUCCCUGCCACAUUUAAUUUUAUUGCAACGAGUAAAGCAGAUUACUUGGUAUGAGGAGUUCAAAGUUGUUUUGUGAACUCUGUGCACGUUUUGCAUGUCAACUAAAUUAUAGAUACAAUAAGGAGUCCGUUAAAUAUCCAUAGACCAAGAUACUAUAUAUAGGAGUUUAUGUUAUGAAGUGUUCUUCCUAAUUCAGCAGAUUUUAAAACCAUUUGACUGUGGUAUGAAAAUCAAAUACAUGCAAAUAUAGGAAGCAAUGAACAAAUGUGUGUUCAUGAAAUGAAAUUAGCACAAAAUUACAGUCUUAUCACAAAAAUCUACUGAAGCUUUCAUCUCUUAGACCCAACCACUUGAGUUGUUUCACUGAUGAAGAAAAUAGAUGAUGGCCAAGAGGGACAUUGUCUCUUCCUCUUCUGUUCCUGGGAGAGAAAGUAACAAGCAAAACUCCUCCAGCAUGUCAGCAAGACCACUGGCCAGGAUAGUGGCAAAACUGAGUUUGAGAUGCUCCAUGAAAUCUGAUGAAAUUUAGCAGCUUUACAGGCCAAGGAUUUCACCCUUCAACAGCACUGGGAUUGUUCUCAAUUUUCAUGUUGAGAAGCUCCCAAUAGCUAGGAGCUGGGAGCCGGGAAAUGGGGGCUGGGAGCAACACAGAGAUAUCUUCAAAGGUAUGCACAUUUUCAUUAGGAAUUCCUCUGAUUUAGGAAUUCAUCUGUGUGCUUCUCCUUCUUUGAGGACAGCACAAGUGCAAACAGUGAAAUCAGAAAAUUAACCUUCAGGAGGCAGGAGAUCUCUGGUAGACACAGUAGAGGUUAAUAACCUUCCUCUGUGAUGCACUUCUUUUGAGAGCUCUGCACUAGCAGCUUGCUCCUGCAGUGCAGGGGCAAGUGAAGGCAGAAAUUAGGAGGGGUGCCAGGCAGUAAUGGACUGAGCCAUUUGCGUGCCUGUUUUUCCAUUCAGCAGACCCUGAGAGCAGGGCUGAUCAGCAGAGCAGACCAGGAAAUGUUGCAUCAUUGAGAUUAUUGAACUCAUUAUGUACAUAAAAUUACCAGAUAGUCCUAUACAUGCUGCUGAGUAAAAAUUCAAGUAAUAACUCCCUAUGGAUGUAAGUAUACAGAAAGAGAUACGAUUUUUGUUAAAUUUGAUCAACAAUUUGGACCAAAUAAAUUUGGUCCAAAUGAACUUAUUUGAAAUAUCUGGUGUCUGAAAUAGCCUACAAUUAAAAGAGAUAUUUGGUUCUGAAAUAUAUCCUGAAAACAUUCAACUGUCCUAGCCUCCUGAGAAUUUCAUUACCUAUUUGCAUAUGAUGCUGCACAGGAAGUCAGGAUCUCUUCCUGUAAAGAAGGCAGCACCCUCUCCACUCAGUUAAUUUAAUUUUUUCAACUAUUAAAACAUUUUCAAAAUCUUAAAGCAUGGUAUUUUACUUGCCAGCUGUGUUACUGAAAGCCCUGUGGUUGUGUCAGGGAUGGAUACAUGCAACCACUCUAUGGUGACGCAUACAUGA